UACGAGGGGUGCAAGCGUUGCUCGGAAUUAUUGGGCGUAAAGGGUAGGUAGGUGGUCUCAUUUGUCUGAUGUGAAAUCCUUGGGCUUAACUCAAGAAGUGCGUCAGAAACGGUGAGACUAGAGUCUUGGAGAGGGUCGUGGAAUUCCCGGUGUAGCGGUGAAAUGCGUAGAGAUCGGGAGGAACACCAGAGGCGAAGGCGGCGACCUGGACAAGUACUGACACUCAAAUACGAAAGCGUGGGGAGCAAACAGG
Molecule: ribosomal RNA, 253 nt
Filed under: uncultured bacterium
Lineage: Bacteria
Description: partial 16S ribosomal RNA
Rfam family: Bacterial small subunit ribosomal RNA
Source: RNAcentral